This 210-nucleotide ribosomal RNA is filed under the name uncultured bacterium. RNAcentral describes it as "partial 16S ribosomal RNA". It matches the Rfam family "Bacterial small subunit ribosomal RNA", at positions 1290 to 1500 of the family's 1533-position model. The record is from RNAcentral.
AGUUCAGAUUGCAGGCUGCAACCCGCCUGCAUGAAGUCGGAAUUGCUAGUAAUCGCGGAUCAGCAUGCCGCAGUGAAUACGUUCCCGGGCCUUGUACACACCGCCCGUCACACCAUGGGAGCCGGUAAUACCCGAAGUCAGUAGUCCAACCUCGUGAGGACGCUGCCGAAGGUAGGAUUGGCGACUGGGGUGAAGUCGUAACAAGGUAUC